UACGUAGGGUGCAAGCGUUGUCCGGAAUUAUUGGGCGUAAAGGGCUCGUAGGCGGUUUGUCGCGUCGGGAGUGAAAACUCAGGGCUUAACCCUGAGCCUGCUUCCGAUACGGGCAGACUAGAGGUAUGCAGGGGAGAAUGGAAUUCCUGGUGUAGCGGUGAAAUGCGCAGAUAUCAGGAGGAACACCGGUGGCGAAGGCGGGUCUCUGGGCCGAUACUGACGCUGAGGAGCGAAAGCGUGGGGAGCGAACAGG
This 253-nucleotide ribosomal RNA is filed under the name uncultured bacterium. RNAcentral's name for it is "partial 16S ribosomal RNA". It matches the Rfam family "Bacterial small subunit ribosomal RNA", at positions 524 to 776 of the family's 1533-position model. The record is from RNAcentral.